Molecule: ribosomal RNA, 253 nt
Filed under: uncultured bacterium
Lineage: Bacteria
Description: partial 16S ribosomal RNA
Rfam family: Bacterial small subunit ribosomal RNA
Source: RNAcentral
UACGUAGGGGGCAAGCGUUGUCCGGAAUCAUUGGGCGUAAAGAGCGUGUAGGCGGCCCGGUAAGUCCGCUGUGAAAGUCGAGGGCUCAACCCUCGAAUGCCGGCGGAUACUGUCGGGCUAGAGUCCGGAAGAGGCGAGUGGAAUUCCUGGUGUAGCGGUGAAAUGCGCAGAUAUCAGGAGGAACACCGGUGGCGAAGGCGGGUCUCUGGGCCGAUAUUGACGCUGAGGAGCGAAAGCGUGGGGAGCGAACAGG